UCGGGAAUUUUGGGCAAUGGGCGAAAGCCUGACCCAGCAACGCCGCGUGAAGGAUGAAGUAUUUCGGUAUGUAAACUUCGUAAGAAUAGGAAGAAUAAAUGACGGUACUAUUUGUAAGGUCCGGCUAACUACGUGCCAGCAGCCGCGGUAAUACGUAGGGACCAAGCGUUGUUCGGAUUUACUGGGCGUAAAGGGCGCGUAGGCGGUGUGUCAAGUCAGUUGUGAAAUCUCCGAGCUUAACUCGGAACGGUCAACUGAUACUGUCACACUAGAGUACAGAAGGGGCAAUCGGAAUUCUUGGUGUAGCGGUGAAAUGCGUAGAUAUCAAGAGGAACACCUGAGGUGAAGACGGGUUGCUGGGCUGACACUGACGCUGAGGCGCGAAAGCCAGGGGAGCAAACGGGAUUAGAUACCCUUGUAGUCCCUGAGCGGGC
RNAcentral lists this ribosomal RNA (434 nucleotides) under uncultured bacterium. RNAcentral describes it as "bacterial SSU rRNA". It matches the Rfam family "Bacterial small subunit ribosomal RNA", at positions 355 to 804 of the family's 1533-position model. The record is from RNAcentral.